GAUGAACGCUGACAGAAUGCUUAACACAUGCAAGUCAACUUGAACUUCGGUUUGGGUGGCGGACGGGUGAGUAACGCGUAAAGAACUUGCCUCACAGAUAGGGACAACAUUUGGAAACGAAUGCUAAUACCUGAUAUUAUGAUUAUAUGGCAUCGUAUAAUUAUGAAAGCUAUAUGCGCUGUGAGAGAGCUUUGCGUCCCAUUAGCUAGUUGGAGAGGUAACGGCUCACCAAGGCGAUGAUGGGUAGCCGGCCUGAGAGGGUGAUUGGCCACAAGGGGACUGAGACACGGCCCUUACUCCUACGGGAGGCAGCAGUGGGGAAUAUUGGACAAUGGACCAAGAGUCUGAUCCAGCAAUUCUGUGUGCACGAUGAAGUUUUUCGGAAUGUAAAGUGCUUUCAGUUGGGAAGAAAAAAAUGACGGUACCAACAGAAGAAGUGACGGCUAAAUACGUG
RNAcentral lists this ribosomal RNA (454 nucleotides) under uncultured bacterium. RNAcentral describes it as "partial 16S ribosomal RNA". It matches the Rfam family "Bacterial small subunit ribosomal RNA", at positions 28 to 507 of the family's 1533-position model. The record is from RNAcentral.